Molecule: non-coding RNA, 427 nt
Organism: Notechis scutatus (mainland tiger snake)
Lineage: Eukaryota; Metazoa; Chordata; Lepidosauria; Squamata; Elapidae
Source: RefSeq, a predicted model, not a curated record
GAAUUUGAGGGGAAAAUUUAUGUUCUACUCUAACCCACACAAAUCGCGGUCUAGAUUAGACAUGGCAUGGAUGAACGCAGAACUAGGAAACCAACUAGAUUCGAUAGAGAUUAUGACAAAUGUAUGGGCUGAUCAUAACCCAUUAAAAAUAACUUGGAAAGGAAGGGAAAAGGAAGAGUAGAAGGUGGAUACUUAAUCCCCAAAUUUUCAAGGAGGAAGAUUUGGUAGAGAAAUUAAGAAAGAAAUGGAACUUUUUUUAAGGAAAAUACAGUGGAGCAAACAUCAUUACAGAAUUUAUGGGAUACAGCAAAGGCAGUCUUGAGGGGGCUGGUAACAGCAUAUACAGCGAAAAGGAAUAAGGAAAGAUGGCAAAAUCAGAAUAAAUUACAGGAGGAGAUUAAAGACCUAGAAAAAAGAUAACAGAUAA